CGCUAGCUACAGGCUUAACACAUGCAAGUCGAGGGGAAACGACAUCGAAAGCUUGCUUUUGAUGGGCGUCGACCGGCGCACGGGUGAGUAACGCGUAUCCAACCUGCCCACCACUUGGGGAUAACCUUGCGAAAGUAAGACUAAUACCCAAUGAUAUCUCUAGAAGACAUCUGAAAGAGAUUAAAGAUUUAUCGGUGAUGGAUGGGGAUGCGUCUGAUUAGCUUGUUGGCGGGGUAACAGCCCACCAAGGCAACGAUCAGUAGGGGUUCUGAGAGGAAGGUCCCCCACAUUGGAACUGAGACACGGUCCAAACUCCUACGGGAGGCAGCAGUGAGGAAUAUUGGUCAAUGGACGAGAGUCUGAACCAGCCAAGUAGCGUGCAGGGAUGACGGCCCUAUGGGGUUAUAAACUGCUUUUAUAAAGGGAAUAAAAGUGAGUCUCGUGAGACUUUUUGCAUGUACCUUAUGAAUAAGGACCGGCUAAUUCCGUGCCAGCAGCCGCGGUAAUACGGAAGGUCCGGGCGUUAUCCGGAUUUAUUGGGUUUAAAGGGAGCGUAGGCCGGAGAUUAAGCGUGUUGUGAAAUGUAGACGCUCAACGUCUGCACUGCAGCGCGAACUGGUUUCCUUGAGUACGCACAAAGUGGGCGGAAUUCGUGGUGUAGCGGUGAAAUGCUUAGAUAUCACGAAGAACUCCGAUUGCGAAGGCAGCUCACUGGAGCGCAACUGACGCUGAAGCUCGAAAGUGCGGGUAUCGAACAGGAUUAGAUACCCUGGUAGUCCGCACGGUAAACGAUGGAUGCCCGCUGUUGGUCUGAAUAGGUCAGCGGCCAAGCGAAAGCAUUAAGCAUCCCACCUGGGGAGUACGCCGGCAACGGUGAAA
RNAcentral lists this ribosomal RNA (879 nucleotides) under uncultured bacterium. RNAcentral's name for it is "bacterial SSU rRNA". It matches the Rfam family "Bacterial small subunit ribosomal RNA", at positions 34 to 899 of the family's 1533-position model. The record is from RNAcentral.